RNAcentral lists this ribosomal RNA (502 nucleotides) under Lactifluus luteolamellatus. RNAcentral describes it as "LSU rRNA". It matches the Rfam family "Eukaryotic large subunit ribosomal RNA", at positions 85 to 586 of the family's 3401-position model. Lineage: Eukaryota; Fungi; Basidiomycota; Agaricomycetes; Russulales; Russulaceae. The record is from RNAcentral.
AACUGCGAGUGAAGCGGGAAAAGCUCAAAUUUAAAAUCUGGCGGUCUCUGGCCGUCCGAGUUGUAAUUUAGAGAAGCGUCUUCCGCGCCGGGCCGUGCACAAGUCUCCUGGAAUGGAGCGUCAUAGAGGGUGAGAAUCCCGUCUUUGGCACGGAYGCCUGUGCUUCUGUGAUGCGCUCUCGAAGAGUCGAGUUGUUUGGGAAUGCAGCUCAAAAUGGGUGGUGAACUCCAUCUAAAGCUAAAUAUUGGCGAGAGACCGAUAGCGAACAAGUACCGUGAGGGAAAGAUGAAAAGCACUUUGGAAAGAGAGUGAAACAGUACGUGAAAUUGUUGAAAGGGAAACGCUUGAAGUCAGUCGCGUCGACCGAGACUCAGCCUUGCCUUGGCUUGGUGUACUUCUCGGCUCGACGGGUCAGCAUCAAUUUUGCCCCUCGGAUAAUGGCAAGGGAAAGGUGGCACCUACGCGGGUGUGUUAUAGUCUCCUGUCGCAUGCGAGGGGUGGG